RNAcentral lists this ribosomal RNA (494 nucleotides) under uncultured bacterium. RNAcentral's name for it is "bacterial SSU rRNA". It matches the Rfam family "Bacterial small subunit ribosomal RNA", at positions 28 to 521 of the family's 1533-position model. The record is from RNAcentral.
GAUGAACGCUAGCGGCAGGCUUAACACAUGCAAGUCGAGGGGCAGCACGUCUUCGGAUGGUGGCGAUCGGCGCACGGGUGCGUAACGCGUAUACAACCUACCUUAUAGAGGGGAAUAGCCCAGAGAAAUUUGGAUUAAUGCCCCAUAGUAUUAUUGAAUAGCAUUAUUUAAUGGUUAAACAUUUAUGGCUAUAAGAUGGGUAUGCGUUCUAUUAGCUAGAUGGUAAGGUAACGGCUUACCAUGGCGACGAUAGAUAGGGGUCCUGAGAGGGAGAUCCCCCACACUGGUACUGAGACACGGACCAGACUCCUACGGGAGGCAGCAGUGAGGAAUAUUGGACAAUGGGCGAGAGCCUGAUCCAGCCAUGCCGCGUGCAGGAAGACGGCCCUAUGGGUUGUAAACUGCUUUUAUACGGGAAGAAACACUCCUUCGUGAAGGAGCUUGACGGUACCGUAAGAAUAAGGAUCGGCUAACUCCGUGCCAGCAGCCGCGGU